AUUGAACGCUGGCGGCAGGCCUAACACAUGCAAGUCGAGCGGAUGAAGGGAGCUUGCUCCUGGAUUCAGCGGCGGACGGGUGAGUAAUGCCUAGGAAUCUGCCUGGUAGUGGGGGAUAACGUCCGGAAACGGGCGCUAAUACCGCAUACGUCCUGAGGGAGAAAGUGGGGGAUCUUCGGACCUCACGCUAUCAGAUGAGCCUAGGUCGGAUUAGCUAGUUGGUGGGGUAAAGGCCUACCAAGGCGACGAUCCGUAACUGGUCUGAGAGGAUGAUCAGUCACACUGGAACUGAGACACGGUCCAGACUCCCACGGGAGGCAGCAGUGGGAAAUAUUGGACAAUGGGCGAAAGCCUGAUCCAGCCAUGCCGCGUGUGUGAAGAAGGUCUUCGGAUUGUAAAGCACUUUAAGUUGGGAGGAAGGGCAGUAAGUUAAUACCUUGCUGUUUUGACGUUACCAACAGAAUAAGCACCGGCUAACUUCGUG
Molecule: ribosomal RNA, 484 nt
Filed under: uncultured bacterium
Lineage: Bacteria
Description: partial 16S ribosomal RNA
Rfam family: Bacterial small subunit ribosomal RNA
Source: RNAcentral